UACAGGGGGUGCAAACGUUGCUCGGAAUUAUUGGGCGUAAAGCGCGCGUAGGCGGCUACCUAAGUCGGAUGUGAAAGCCCCUGGCUCAACCGGGGAACUGCGUCUGAUACUGGCGGGCUUGAAUUCGGGAGAGGGAUGUGGAAUUCCAGGUGUAGCGGUGAAAUGCGUAGAUAUCUGGAGGAACACCGGUGGCGAAGGCGGCAUCCUGGACCGACAUUGACGCUGAGGCGCGAAAGCCAGGGGAGCAAACGGG
RNAcentral lists this ribosomal RNA (253 nucleotides) under uncultured bacterium. RNAcentral's name for it is "partial 16S ribosomal RNA". It matches the Rfam family "Bacterial small subunit ribosomal RNA", at positions 524 to 776 of the family's 1533-position model. The record is from RNAcentral.